UACAGAGGGUGCGAGCGUUAAUCGGAAUUACUGGGCGUAAAGCGCACGUAGUCGGCUUUGCAAGUCGGUUGUGAAAUCCCCGGGCUCAACCUGGGAACUGCAUCCGAGACUGCAUUGCUAGAGUAUGGGAGAGGAAAGCGGAAUUUCCGGUGUAGCAGUGAAAUGCGUAGAUAUCAGAAGGAACAUCAGUGGCGAAGGCGGCUUUCUGGACCAAUACUGACGAUCAGGUGCGAAAGCGUGGGGAGCAAACAGG
This 253-nucleotide ribosomal RNA is filed under the name uncultured bacterium. RNAcentral's name for it is "partial 16S ribosomal RNA". It matches the Rfam family "Bacterial small subunit ribosomal RNA", at positions 524 to 776 of the family's 1533-position model. The record is from RNAcentral.